UAUUAUUAUUAUUAUUUUUAUUUUUAUUGUUAUUAUUAUUCAGAGAGUGAGAAAAGUCUUCAACAUCUUGUGAAACAGUUCAGAGGAAUAGGACUGAGUAUGAAUACAGGGGAAAGAAAGUAUUGAACAAAAAAUAUCUAUAACAAUAAGUUAUUUCUUAUCUUUUAAAAAUAGAUAUGUAAGAAGCUCUUCUUGUUCCUAUACAGUAUCAGAAAUGGUACUUACAGGAACUUGAGGAGGCAUUUCCUUCAAAAUGGAAUAAAACCUAGGGUUCAUGGGAACACUGGUCGCAUUCCUUGUCAUGCUGUUUCUGUGGAAGGCAUUAAAGAUGUGGUAGCAUUUUUGGAGAACUAUGCUGAAGACUACGCCAUUUUACUACCUGGGAGGAUACCUGGAGUGAGGGAUUAUGGGAAGGCCAAGCUAUUGCUGUCCAGUGUGUCCCGACGCAUGGUUUACCGGCAGUAUGCUGAUGCUGGUAGGGAACAUACUCUCUGUGAAAGUUCCUUUAAAAGAAUAUGGAGAAAGUAUGUUCCCCACAUUUACAGCAUCAAGCCAAUGACGAACUUAUGCUGGACGUGCAAAAAGAACAGCACUGCAAUUUUAAGGAAUGCUGGAGGUGAGAUUGAGCAUCAGUCUGAGAAGAAAAAGAGACAUCAUAGGGGUAAAUGGAAACAUUGACGAGGUGGCGGGAGAGGAGCAGGAAGAGGAGGUGGCCAAGGAGGAGGAGAUGGACAAAGAAGAGGGGCAGCUGGCCAAGGAAGCGGGGGAGGUGGCCAAGGAAGAGAGGGAGGUGGCCAAGGAAGAGGCCAAAGAGGAAGAGGAGGCCCUGCUACAACAGAUUCAUCCACAAGUGCAAAGACAAUAAA
Molecule: long non-coding RNA, 866 nt
Filed under: Amphimedon queenslandica
Lineage: Eukaryota; Metazoa; Porifera; Demospongiae; Haplosclerida; Niphatidae
Description: uncharacterized LOC109584172
Source: RNAcentral